AUUGAACGCUGGCGGCAUGCUUUACACAUGCAAGUCGAACGGUAACAGGCUGCAAGGUGCUGACGAGUGGCGGACGGGGGAGUAAGGCAUCGGAACGUGCCCAGUCGUGGGGGAUAACUACUCGUAAGAGUAGCUAAUACCGCAUACGACCUAUGGAUGAAAGCGGGGGAACGCAAGGGCUCGUCCGAUUUGAGCGGCCGAUGUCAGAUUAGGUAGUUGGUGGGGUAAAGGCUCACCAAGCCAACGAUCUGUAGCUGGUCUGAGAGGACGACCAGCCACACUGGAACUGAGGCACGGCCCAGACUCCUACGGGAGGCAGCAGUGGGGAAUAUUGGACAAUGGGCGCAAGCCUGAUCCAGCAAUGCCGCGUGGAGGAAGAAGGCCUUCGGGUUGUAAACUGCUUUUGUACGGAACGAAAAGCAUCUGGUUAAUACCCGGCGGUAAUGACGGUACCGUAAGAAUAAGCACCGGCUAACUACGUG
Molecule: ribosomal RNA, 482 nt
Filed under: uncultured bacterium
Lineage: Bacteria
Description: partial 16S ribosomal RNA
Rfam family: Bacterial small subunit ribosomal RNA
Source: RNAcentral